CUUAAGGAGACUAGACCUGGAAUCCUUACAGCCAUCCUGAAUUACAUUAUGUAGAGUUCCAUGUGAAUGCUCACAGAAGUCUAUGCAGAAGUCACCAAGAUGAAAUGUUUCUGAGGAUAUCUAAUAAUAUGACUCUUUGUCACCCCCUGCCACUUCCUCCACUUGGAUAAUUGUUACAGUUCCAUUCUCUGCAGAGGGAAACAUGAAGGAAAGUAAUUAUCAUAUUUAACUUACAUAUGAGGGAGGAAAUUUCUAAUAGUAUCUAUUGGGUUUAGAUUUGAAUUUCGUUUUUUU
This 294-nucleotide long non-coding RNA is filed under the name Mustela putorius furo (domestic ferret). RNAcentral describes it as "lncRNA (ENSMPUG00000025492.1)". Lineage: Eukaryota; Metazoa; Chordata; Mammalia; Carnivora; Mustelidae. The record is from RNAcentral.